CCUACGGGGGGCAGCAGUGAGGAAUAUUGGUCAAUGGACGAGAGUCUGAACCAGCCAAGUAGCGUGAAGGAUGACUGCCCUAUGGGUUGUAAACUUCUUUUAUAUGGGAAUAAAAUGUUCCACGUGUGGGAUUUUGUAUGUACCAUAUGAAUAAGGAUCGACUAACUCCGUGCCAGCAGCCGCGGUAAUACGGAGGAUCCGAGCGUUAUCCGGAUUUAUUGGGUUUAAAGGGAGCGUAGGUGGAUUGUUAAGUCAGUUGUGAAAGUUUGCGGCUCAACCGUAAAAUUGCAGUUGAAACUGGCAGUCUUGAGUACAGUAGAGGUGGGCGGAAUUCGUGGUGUAGCGGUGAAAUGCUUAGAUAUCACGAAGAACUCCGAUUGCGAAGGCAGUUCACUGGACUGCAACUGACACUGAGGCUCGAAAGUGUGGGUAUCAAACAGGAUUAGAUACCCGUGUAGUC
Molecule: ribosomal RNA, 460 nt
Filed under: uncultured bacterium
Lineage: Bacteria
Description: partial 16S ribosomal RNA
Rfam family: Bacterial small subunit ribosomal RNA
Source: RNAcentral